CCUACGGGGGGCAGCAGUGGGGAAUAUUGGACAAUGGGCGAAAGCCUGAUCCAGCCAUGCCGCGUGUGUGAAGAAGGCCUUCGGGUUGUAAAGCACUUUCAGUGGGGAAGAAAGCCUUGGGGCUAAUACCCUCGAGGAAGGACAUCACCCACAGAAGAAGCACCGGCUAACUCCGUGCCAGCAGCCGCGGUAAUACGGAGGGUGCGAGCGUUAAUCGGAAUUACUGGGUGUAAAGCGCGCGUAGGCGGUCUGAUAAGCCGGUUGUGAAAGCCCCGGGCUCAACCUGGGAACGGCAUCCGGAACUGUCAGGCUAGAGUGCAGGAGAGGAAGGUAGAAUUCCCGGUGUAGCGGUGAAAUGCGUAGAGAUCGGGAGGAAUACCAGUGGCGAAGGCGGCCUUCUGGACUGACACUGACGCUGAGGUGCGAAAGCGUGGGUAGCAAACAGGAUUAGAUACCCCGGUAGUC
This 465-nucleotide ribosomal RNA is filed under the name Vreelandella stevensii. RNAcentral's name for it is "partial 16S ribosomal RNA". It matches the Rfam family "Bacterial small subunit ribosomal RNA", at positions 338 to 795 of the family's 1533-position model. Lineage: Bacteria; Pseudomonadati; Pseudomonadota; Gammaproteobacteria; Oceanospirillales; Halomonadaceae. The record is from RNAcentral.